AGCUUGACUGCGAGCGUGACGGCGCGAGCAGGUGCGAAAGCAGGUCAUAGUGAUCCGGUGGUUCUGAAUGGAAGGGCCAUCGCUCAACGGAUAAAAGGUACUCCGGGGAUAACAGGCUGAUACCGCCCAAGAGUUCAUAUCGACGGCGGUGUUUGGCACCUCGAUGUCGGCUCAUCACAUCCUGGGGCUGAAGUAGGUCCCAAGGGUAUGGCUGUUCGCCAUUUAAAGUGGUACGCGAGCUGGGUUUAGAACGUCGUGAGACAGUUCGGUCCCUAUCUGCCGUGGGCGCUGGAGAACUGAGGGGGGCUGCUCCUAGUACGAGAGGACCGGAGUGGACGCAUCACUGGUGUUCGGGUUGUCAUGCCAAUGGCACUGCCCGGUAGCUAAAUGCGGAAGAGAUAAGUGCUGAAAGCAUCUAAGCACGAAACUUGCCCCGAGAUGAGUUCUCCCUGACUCCUUGAGAGUCCUGAAGGAACGUUGAAGACGACGACGUUGAUAGGCCGGGUGUGUAAGCGCAGCGAUGCGUUGAGCUAACCGGUACUAAUGAACCGUGAGGCUUAACCUU
Molecule: ribosomal RNA, 565 nt
Filed under: Escherichia coli
Lineage: Bacteria; Pseudomonadati; Pseudomonadota; Gammaproteobacteria; Enterobacterales; Enterobacteriaceae
Description: partial 23S ribosomal RNA
Rfam family: Bacterial large subunit ribosomal RNA
Source: RNAcentral